Zootermopsis nevadensis is the source of this 476-nucleotide non-coding RNA. Lineage: Eukaryota; Metazoa; Arthropoda; Insecta; Blattodea; Termopsidae. The record is from RefSeq and is a predicted model, not a curated record.
GAGUUGAUGUAAUCUAAAUAAUUUUCUUUCCGUUUUUAGGUAUCGAGUUUAAUGUUAAUGAAGAAGAGUAUUCAUUCUUCAAUGGAGAGGUGCAAAGUCAACGUGCCUCAUGUUCGAAUGCCACAGAAGAACAGAACAACCCUGACGUCCUAAAUCAAUACGAGAAAAUCGGUGUUCUAGGUAAAGGUGGAUAUGGGAAAGUGUAUCUUGUCCGUAAGAGGGGUGGCGCGAAUGAAGUCCAGGUUUUCGCAAUGAAGAAAUUGAGGAAGGGAUGUGAUACGUUUGAUAUAGAGCGUAUGGUGUCUGAGAAAGUAUCAGGAUAUCCAUUUUUGGUCAGCCUUUGUCGCUCUUUCAAGACGAACUCUCAUGGGUACCUGGUGAUGGAUUACAUGGAAGGUGGAGACCUGUCAAAACUCAUAAAAAAGAAACAUACCCUUACAGAGGAUGAAGCUCGAUUUUACCUUGCGGAAGUUCUU